UACUUUACGAACUAGUCUCUCAGUUUUCUUUCUUGCUCAUAGUAUAUAACUCGGAUCGAACGGGAUCCGUUGACUAUAUCCUCUAGCUACCAUAGAACAGAUUAUAUAUAUCCGAUAUUAAGUCCGAUAUUAUCCGAUAUCUAAGUAUAUAAUAUAAAUACUAUUAUUCAUAUAUUACGACAUCUAAAGAGAACUUUUGCUCCGUUUGAUUUACCAAACUUGUAGCCUUGACUCUAAUUCCAGCAUCGAACGACAAUUUUUGAUUAUUUCCAACUCAGUGCUACAGUCCAAACUAUAUAGAGGGCACUAGCACAGACAUAUGUAUCAUAUAAGUAUGUCUGAACUAAUCCUGAUAAGACGCUCUGCGAAAGCUCGGAAGGGCUAUAAAAAGCCAGUGCCGGGGCUUGGGACCCAUCAGUUGUACAGUUCUGGACUAGAACUUCUAGUGACUCGAACAAAAAGUUGUUUAUUUUUAACAAAAAAAAAAGGCAAAAAUGAUUCCACUGGAGGUACUCCCUUAACUUCCACGUCUCUGGAGUGGAACUAGCAGGAGAGGCGAGUGAGAUGGAUCUGCCAAAGAAGGGACUUUAAGAACGAAGAACUGCUGGCGAAAUACUCGAAAGUUCAAGACAAACAUGUGGCACUUCUGGAUAAAUAUUCGAAAGGGCAAAAGUUCAGACAAAGUAUUCCAAAAUUCCGAAUGAACUGCAAGCAAAGAGUGUGGAAUCUGGAAUCUGAGAAGCAAAAAGCUCAAUUAGAACAAGCUUUUGUGAUCAGAAAGAAUCAAGUGAAAUUUUCAGAGCAAAUGGGAAUAAUAGGAGCUGUAAUGGCUGUCCUGCCACCCAAAAUGGAAGGCCUAACAAUAUAAUAUUUAACGAGUUGAUAUAAAAGUCAAACAGCUGGCAGAACUCAACCACCAGCCAUAGCCCACUCCUGUGCCCAGUUGUGAUCGGGACUUCCAUCCUCAUCUCGAUCAAAUGCUGAGAAUUUCAUGUCCUGAAUUUGGUUCCGAUGCGAUGUAUCUCCUCUACAGCCGUUUAUAUUUUUCAACAUGUAUCCUUCGCUUCUUAUCGCCCCCAACAACGUUUUCGACCAUUGUUUCUUAACUUUCGACUCUUUCUUUCUUUUCAAAAAUACUUCUCAUCUGGCCGUGUUCCUGGUCAUGGUUGGAUUUUCUAGAAAACUCUGUUCUGGACAAUAAGAGGGAAGGAUACAUGCUGAAAAAGAAGAACCGGGUGUUGUGGAGAUACAUCGCACUUUAGCCCAAUUCGUGGCAUGACAUCCUUAACACUCGAUCGGGAAGACGAUGAUAGUCCCGAUCACAGCUGGGCACAGGCAUUGGGCUUCGGCUGGUGGCUGAUUUCCGGCUAUCUGUAUGAAGUUUGAACUAGUCUUUAACUUUCAUCAGAUUUUUAUAUAUAAUAUUAUAUUUUUUUUUGAGAGAGAGACUUUCAUAGAUGGAAUGCCAUUGAAUACCAUUGAAACCGUUGUAAGAAUAAAAAGAAAAGCCACCUCUCUUCUAAUAGAACUUUGAAUUGUUCAAAAAUAUCUGGAGUUUAAUUUUAUUUAUAUGUUAUUGAAUUAAAUCAUUUUUAUUGUCAAAAUAUAGAAGGCAAUUUUUAUAAAUUAAAUAUGUUUUUGAAUAUU
Drosophila ananassae is the source of this 1647-nucleotide long non-coding RNA. RefSeq lists it as uncharacterized. The transcript is spliced from 2 exons. Lineage: Eukaryota; Metazoa; Arthropoda; Insecta; Diptera; Drosophilidae. The record is from RefSeq and is a predicted model, not a curated record.